GACGAACGCUGGCGGCGUGCUUAACACAUGCCAGUCGAACGGAAAGGCCCUGCUUUUGUGGGGUGCUCGAGUGGCGAACGGGUGAGUAACACGUGAGUAACCUGCCCUUGACUUUGGGAUAACUUCAGGAAACUGGGGCUAAUACCGGAUAGGAGCUCCUGCUGCAUGGUGGGGGUUGGAAAGUUUCGGCGGUUGGGGAUGGACUCGCGGCUUAUCAGCUUGUUGGUGGGGUAGUGGCUUACCAAGGCUUUGACGGGUAGCCGGCCUGAGAGGGUGACCGGUCACAUUGGGACUGAGAUAGGGCCCAGACUCCUACGGGAGGCAGCAGUGGGGAAUAUUGCACAAUGGGCGGAAGCGUGAGGCAGCAACGCCGCGUGCGGGAUGACGGCCUGCGGGGUGUAAACCGCUUUCGCCUGUGACGAAGCGGGAGUGACGGUAAUGGGUAAAGAAGCACCGGCUAACUACGUG
Molecule: ribosomal RNA, 468 nt
Filed under: uncultured bacterium
Lineage: Bacteria
Description: partial 16S ribosomal RNA
Rfam family: Bacterial small subunit ribosomal RNA
Source: RNAcentral